UACGUAGGGUGCGAGCGUUAAUCGGAAUUACUGGGCGUAAAGGGUGCGCAGGCGGUCCUGCAAGUCAGGCGUGAAAUCCCCGGGCUUAACCUGGGAAUGGCACUUGAAACUACGGGACUGGAGUAUGGCAGAGGGAGGUGGAAUUCCACGUGUAGCAGUGAAAUGCGUAGAGAUGUGGAGGAACACCGAUGGCGAAGGCAGCCUCCUGGGCCAGCACUGACGCUCAUGCACGAAAGCGUGGGGAGCAAACAGG
RNAcentral lists this ribosomal RNA (253 nucleotides) under uncultured bacterium. RNAcentral's name for it is "partial 16S ribosomal RNA". It matches the Rfam family "Bacterial small subunit ribosomal RNA", at positions 524 to 776 of the family's 1533-position model. The record is from RNAcentral.